This 4697-nucleotide long non-coding RNA is filed under the name Homo sapiens (human). RNAcentral's name for it is "HSALNT0025990". Lineage: Eukaryota; Metazoa; Chordata; Mammalia; Primates; Hominidae. The record is from RNAcentral.
GUAAGAGCUUGCACCAAUUAAUACAACAGCCCACAAAAUGCCAAGGGAGGGUCCAGCCGCCUUCAUGGACUGAGCACUUUGUACACAAUACACGUUGUACCCAGUCCUGGGCUACCAAGGAGUGCUUCUGACCAAAUGUGGUGGGGAACUCAGGGAAGGCUGGAGGCUGAGGCUGGAAAGGGGGGCGGAGGUACACCUGAGUGUAAAGGACCUGAGAGGGAGGCACACCUGAGUGGGAGGUCCACGUGGGUGAGAGGUUCAUCUCGGUGGGAGGUCCACCUGGAGGGAGGUCCUGAAAGGAGGAAGGGCAUCUGAGUGGAGGCAGGGGCAAUCACAGGAAACCAGCCUGGGGAGGGGCAGAGUCCGGUCGUGUGGGACGUGGCAGGAGGUGCAGAUGCUGGGCUAUAUCCUGCAGAGCAGGAAUGGGAGACGUGUGUGCAUAGGGGAUGGAAAACCCCACUGAAAUGAUCUUAAGUAAAAAGGGAAAUGAGUCUGUUGGCUCAUAUAAUGCAAAGCUCCUGGGCAGGCUCGAAAUGACAGCUGGGUCCAGAUGUUCAAAGUGUGUCUGUAGGUCCCAGACUCUCUUCCUUUCUCCCUCGCUCCUCUCUCUCUCUGAAGUUUGCCAUCUCUUUCCCAUCUCUAGCCCCACAUCUGCACCAGCUUCUCCCCUCCACCUUUCUGCUCCUUCCGGCUCUCUUUCCUACUCUCAUCCUCAUUGCCUUCACCUUCCGCACAAGACCCCUCUCCACACGUUGGCUCCCAGCAGAUCCACAUGCACGUUAACCUGAGUGUUGGCUGUCCCAGUAGACAGGGGUCUUCUGCUUCCUAAGACUUCCCCAAAAAAUCCUGGAUAAAAACUUGAACCACCUUUGGUGAUGUGCUCUUCCUGGAGGCAUAGCAGGGGCGAACAUCCCCACCAUAGCAACCUGGACUGAGAAUAGGGGAAGACUGAAGUGUAGCUGCCAGGACACAGCCUGGCGGAACUGGGCACCCCGGCUCGAGGAGGACUCAGGCCAGGCAUUCUUCGCAGAGAUCCAGGUGGUAGAGGGCAGGGAGGGAAACCAAGGCAUAUCAGAAGGAACCCCAAGGAGGGCAGAGCAAGUCCGAGAAUGCUCACAGCAGGCAGAGACCUUUCCCAGAGAGGGAAUGAAGGAAAUUUUGGGGAGAGAGGCCCUUGGGGUUGACCAUGAAGGACAGGAAAGAUGAGGAUGGGCUCUGAGGUCACCCCAGCCACCAAAAGCAACAGAAAAGACCCCUGUGGCCUCACAUCCUGUGCCCACAACAGCAGGGUUCUCUCAACCCACGGAAGUUCCCUGUGGACCAAUCCAGAUGCAGGUGCAGUGUGUAGGAGUCUGGGCAGGCAGAGAGGAAGGGAGCAGUGAGAAUGCACCAGAGCUGCUUGGCCAGUCUUCUGGUUUGUCCAGGGACUGAGUGUUGCUGAUAGUUGAGGCCACAUUCAUUUUUGAGAUCUGCAGAUGUUAGAUGUUAUUGAUUUCUAAGUGCAAUAAAGUUGAGUAGCACUGAUCUAAAAUACUUCCCCUCAGUCUGGCAGAAAUACAGCCAUUAGGGUUUGAUUUAGAACCAUCAUUAGGAAGAAUAAUCAGAACACCAAGAUCCUUUCUUUCCCAGCACAAGCAGGCUCUCGGCCAUCGGGCAUGUCAUAAUCUUGGAAGUUUAUGUCCGAUAAUGGAGAGGGGAUGAUUAGUAACACAGAUGCAAAAGCAGCCCUGCCUUGAACCACUUCUCAGAGACAAGUUCAGGCCAACUCUGCUCUGAACACAGAUCCAGUUCCAUCUCAACUCGGAAUAAAGAUUCCCAGUCCAGGAUGACACCCAUCCCCUGGGCGAAUGCCCCAUGUGCCCUGGAAAACCACAUGUGCAGUUGUUGGGUGCAGUGUCACAUGGAUGCUGAUUGGAUCACGGGAAUUGGCAGUACUUGAAGAUCAUCUAGUUGGCUUGGAAUUAAUCGGACACCACUUCCUGUAGAGUGUGGAAAACCUGCAGCUCCACAGUCCUCCUCAGUGACCUUCCUGUCAUGGAUGUCAGGUGUUUUACAUCUGUGUAUAUUGAAAACCACGCCAAACAGUAUGAAUGUUCCUUUCCACGCUCACAAAUUUUAAAUAACUAAGAGAAAAAGAAGUAGUCUUUUAUAUUUGUUCUGAUAUUUACUGUUUCCACUUCUCUUUCCUCAUUCCUAAAUAUCCAAGUUUGCCCUGGCACUCUUUUCACUCAUGCUGAACAAGUUCCAUAUGAAGACUUUCACUAGGCCGGGUCUGUUAGUGACAAAUUCUCUGUAUUUUGCUAAGGUCAUCUGGAACUAAAUGUAUUUUGCCUUCGUCAGAUGGAUUUUGUUGUUGUUGUUGACAGUCUCCUAACACUUUCAAGCUGCACCUUCAUGUGCCGGUUUCUAGAGAGAAAUCCAGUCACUCAAAUCAUACCUCCACUAAAUGUAAUUGUGCUUUCAGUUUUAACGCGAAAUGUGGAACAGAUGGAAACCUGCUUUCUUUGAAUUUUAAAUUAUAUGCUUACUGGCUAAGAAACACAGUAAAAGUAGCUAUUUUUUUUGUAACCUGUGAAUGUCAGAGAGACGGAGGAAGUGGUUCUUUCCUAACGUUGCUCAGCUGUGCCUGCUGAGGCUCGCCGGAGUGCCUUAUUUACUGAUGCUCCAGACCACGCCCAUCUGCUACAGCCACCCUGUCCCCAAAGCACAGGACAUCCGCUGGCCCCUCCAGUGCAGCCCGCCACAGCUGGGCCACCACAACUGGACACCCACUGGCCCCAUAUAAUGCAGCCUGCCACAGCUGGGCCAUCACAACUGGACACCUGCUGGCCCCUAUAAUGCAGCCUGCCACAGCUGAGCCACCACAACUGGACACCCACUGGCCCCAUAUAAUGCAGCCCGCCAUAGCUGAGCCAUCACAACUGGACACCCACUGGCCCCUGCAGUGCAGCCUGUCACAGCUGAGCCGCCACAGCUGGACACCCGCCGGCCCCUGCAGUGCAGCCUGUCACAGCCGAGCCACCACAGCUGGACACCCGCUGGCCCCUGCAGUACAGCCCGCCACAGCCGAGCCGCCACAGCUGGACACCCGCUGGCCCCUGCAGUGCAGCCGCCACUGAGCAUCACAACCGCAGUUGUCCACCGAGAUCCAAACCCCGCAUGGUCCUACCUGAGGCUUCAAGUCACGCUUCUUCACUCAGCCAAAGGUCUGUGCACGCGUCGUUCUGGCCCCCAGAUUCUGCUCCUUGAGAUAUGUGGCUGUUCCUCAACACUGGGGGAAGUUAAAGCCUGAGUUCAAAACCCAUCGAGGCAGAAGCUCAGAAGUCACACGAAUGAAGAUCGAAAUGUAAUAUUAUUACCGACAAUUGAUAGCGAAGAAAAUGGCUUCUUCCUGGUUGCCUGGUGCCUUUUUGCAGUAAGGGAAACGUGGGUCACUCCGAGAGCAUUCCCUCUCACGGGGCCAGAGCUGCGGCUCCUUGAGGACUCCCUCCUGGAAGACAGCGCUUUGGUUAUAGAAAUGCCUUCACAUUUCACAUGGUGACUUUAGCCCUCCCCACACUGUUUGUGAGGCCCAGGGCUUCCCCAUCCUCAUCUCUCAAUAGGGCAGAGACCCUGCGGGCCUGAGACAGUCAUGGGGUGGAGGGAGCUGGGCCCAGAUCCAGAAGCACUGGCCCUGAACCUACCCUUCCCACUUUCCUAUACUCAGCCUCAAGUUAGCAAAACCGCACCCACACCUCCUGCUGGGAGAGGGAGGGACAGCUGGCCUCCCUAAGUCAUCUGCUCUUAUAAGAGAGAAAGACAAAAAGAGAGAGGGAGAGAGACAGACAGACAGAGUUCAGUGAUUACUCAUGCCUGUGAGCCAAUAUCACCAAAUGAACAGAACAAUCCCUACACAAAAUCUUAGUGGAUCAUGAACUCCCAGGAGAUGUUUUGGUAAUUCAGAAGUGAACAAUGAAAACCAAGUUCUGACCGAGUUUUAAAAUUGUUGGCUGGAAACUUCCAAGGAGAGCUAGCACACUGGGUGGAGUCACUGCCUAGCCUUCUCCCACUGCGGGUGUGGGGACCUUGUGCCCAAGCCGGGGCUCUGGGUUCCUGGGACAGAAAGGCGGGACCCACAGCCCAUGCAGCCAUGCACACACAAUGGCUCGCUUCAAAUACAAGUUGCCAAAAGGAAUUUUGGCUUUGUCUAUGGGAACAAUUAUAAGUUUUAAAAACCGCAUUUUCCCUCUGGAUAUGUUCUAAAAUGUCAACUUCCAUGAGUCUUUUACAAGAGGCAUAGGCCUUUAGUAUUAAGGCUAUUGAAUUUAUCUCAUCUUUAAUAAAAGAAGAAUUUGUUUUUGAAAUUUAACAAGAAUAUAAAUAUCUUAAUUAUUAUGUUAAUUACUCUUGAAGGAAUCGUAAACAAACAAAGAAUGCGAAGCCUUCUACUCCUCAAUUAAGUGUGACAUUGAUUGAAAUGCAAUGUGAAUGUUCUCACAAUAUAACAAAUUACUUCAAUCUGGAUUUAACCAUGCGUCUCAGCUGCGAUUAUUGUUGCCCCCGCUGAGGGCGGAAAGGGGAUGUGUUGGUAGGGUAGGGGAGAGGAUGGAGAGAGCAAGAGAAAAAGAGACGGGGCGAGUCAGGCUCGCUGCCAUUAUGAACUGCCAUCAAGUUCAGGAAAUCCGCUCACACAUGAAUGGCCCCACAUGCAAAUCAAC